This is a long non-coding RNA of Bubalus bubalis (water buffalo), 479 nucleotides long. RefSeq lists it as uncharacterized. The transcript has 2 exons. The record is from RefSeq and is a predicted model, not a curated record. Lineage: Eukaryota; Metazoa; Chordata; Mammalia; Artiodactyla; Bovidae.
CUGCCCUCCAGAAAUACUUCACAACCCCAAAGAUUACUUUGACCAUUGCCCACACUUGCCAGAAAAUGUCAAGCCCGCUUGGUUAGCUGAGUGGCUCUGUGAAUGAGGCCAAGGUCAUAAGUUCGGAGGAGGGGGGACCUUCACGUAGCAAGGUUGACCAGGAAGCGCUGCCACAUUAUCUAAAGCCCGCUACUUCCCAUCCACAGACAUUUGCUAAUUGGGCCGGGUCCUCUUCGCGGGCAGAGGGCCGGGAAGCCCCCACCUCCGGCCGCCCGCGUGUCCUCCCCUCCUCCGUCGCGCGGGCCCGGCGAGGGUCAGCCUGGCACCGCGGCUCCAAGUACCACACCGCCGGACCGAACCAGGAGCCAUAUUUAGCUGUAUUUUUUGGUCAAUAAAACAAACUUCCGUCUUCUAACGAAAAACGGUCCCAACUCAAUGUCAAACUAGGACGGAAACUCGCUGUUCGCCGCAGCUGCCAA